This 466-nucleotide ribosomal RNA is filed under the name uncultured bacterium. Its description in RNAcentral is "partial 16S ribosomal RNA". It matches the Rfam family "Bacterial small subunit ribosomal RNA", at positions 28 to 507 of the family's 1533-position model. The record is from RNAcentral.
GAUGAACGCUGGCGGCGUGCUUAACACAUGCAAGUCGAACGGAAAGGCCCAAGCUUGCUUGGGUACUCGAGUGGCGAAAGGGUGAGUAACACGUGGGUGAUCUGCCCUGCACUUCGGGAUAAGCCUGGGAAACUGGGUCUAAUACCGGAUAGGACCACAUUUUGGAUGGUGUGGUGGAAAGUUUUUCGGUGUGGGAUGAGCUCGCGGCCUAUCAGCUUGUUGGUGGGGUAAUGGCCUACCAAGGCGUCGACGGGUAGCCGGCCUGAGAGGGUGUACGGCCACAUUGGGACUGAGAUACGGCCCAGACUCCUACGGGAGGCAGCAGUGGGGAAUAUUGCACAAUGGGCGCAAGCCUGAUGCAGCGACGCCGCGUGGGGGAUGACGGCCUUCGGGUUGUAAACUCCUUUCGCUAGGGACGAAGCGUUAUGUGACGGUACCUGGAGAAGAAGCACCGGCUAACUACGUG